GGUUCUGUAGCUCAGUUGGUUAGAGUGUUGGUCUGAUAUGCCAAAGGUCAUGGGUUUCAAACCCCAUUGGGACCA
Non-coding RNA from Triticum urartu, 75 nucleotides. The record is from Rfam. Lineage: Eukaryota; Viridiplantae; Streptophyta; Magnoliopsida; Poales; Poaceae.